RNAcentral lists this ribosomal RNA (503 nucleotides) under Veillonella parvula. Its description in RNAcentral is "bacterial SSU rRNA". It matches the Rfam family "Bacterial small subunit ribosomal RNA", at positions 28 to 506 of the family's 1533-position model. The record is from RNAcentral. Lineage: Bacteria; Bacillati; Bacillota; Negativicutes; Veillonellales; Veillonellaceae.
GACGAACGCUGGCGGCGUGCUUAACACAUGCAAGUCGAACAAAGAGCGAUGGAAGCUUGCUUCUAUCAAUCUUAGUGGCGAACGGGUGAGUAACGCGUAAUCAACCUGCCCUUCAGAGGGGGACAACAGUUGGAAACGACUGCUAAUACCGCAUACGAUCUAAUCUCGGCAUCGAGGAUAGAUGAAAGGUGGCCUCUACAUGUAAGCUAUCACUGAAGGAGGGGAUUGCGUCUGAUUAGCUAGUUGGAGGGGUAACGGCCCACCAAGGCGAUGAUCAGUAGCCGGUCUGAGAGGAUGAACGGCCACAUUGGGACUGAGACACGGCCCAGACUCCUACGGGAGGCAGCAGUGGGGAAUCUUCCGCAAUGGACGAAAGUCUGACGGAGCAACGCCGCGUGAGUGAUGACGGCCUUCGGGUUGUAAAGCUCUGUUAAUCGGGACGAAAGGCCUUCUUGCGAAUAGUUGUUGGAUGACGGUACCGGAAAGAAAGCAGGCUUUUCGGU